RNAcentral lists this ribosomal RNA (334 nucleotides) under uncultured soil bacterium. Its description in RNAcentral is "bacterial SSU rRNA". It matches the Rfam family "Bacterial small subunit ribosomal RNA", at positions 26 to 388 of the family's 1533-position model. The record is from RNAcentral.
AGAGCGAACGCUGGCGGCAGGCCUAACACAUGCAAGUCGAACGGACCCUUCGAGGUUAGUGGCGGACGGGUGAGUAACACGUGGGAACGUGCCUUUUGGUUCGGAAUAGCUCCUGGAAACGGGUGGUAAUGCCGAAUGUGCCCUUCGGGGGAAAGAUUUAUCGCCAUUAGAGCGGCCCGCGUCUGAUUAGCUAGUUGGUGAGGUAAAGGCUCACCAAGGCUACGAUCAGUAGCUGGUCUGAGAGGAUGACCAGCCACAUUGGGACUGAGACACGGCCCAAACUCCUACGGAGGCAGCAGUGGGAAUCUUGCGCAAGUGGGACGAAAGCCUGACG